AACCAACAGGGAUUGCCCCAGUAACGGCGAGUGAAGCGGCAACAGCUCAAAUUUGAAAUCUGGCCCUAGGCCCGAGUUGUAAUUUGCAGAGGAUGUUUCUGGCGACGCGCCUUCCGAGUUCCCUGGAACGGGACGCCAUAGAGGGUGAGAGCCCCGUACGGUUGGAUGCCUAGCCUCUGUGAAACUCCUUCGACGAGUCGAGUAGUUUGGGAAUGCUGCUCUAAAUGGGAGGUAUACGUCUUCUAAAGCUAAAUAUAGGCCAGAGACCGAUAGCGCACAAGUAGAGUGAUCGAAAGAUGAAAAGCACUUUGAAAAGAGGGUUAAAUAGUACGUGAAAUUGUUGAAAGGGAAGCACUUAUGACCAGACUUGGGCAGGUUGAUCAUCCGUCGUUCUCGGCGGUGCACUCUGCCUGCCCAGGCCAGCAUCAGUUCGCUUCGGGGGAUAAAGGUUUCGGGAAUGUAGCUCCUUCGGGAGUGUUAUAGCCCGUUGCGUAAUACCCUGGGGUGGACUGAGGUUCGCGCAUCUGCAAGGAUGCUGGCGUAAUGGUCAUCAGUGACCCGUCUUGAAACACGGACCAAGGAGUCGUCUUCGUAUGCGAGUGUUCGGGUGUCAAACCCCUACGCGUAAUGAAAGUGAACGUAGGUGAGAGCUUCGGCGCAUCACCGACCGAUCCUGAUGUUCUCGGAUGGAUUUGAGUAAGAGCAUACGGGGCCGGACCCGAAAGAAGGUGAACUAUGCCUGUAUAGGGUGAAGCCAGAGGAAACUCUGGUGGAGGCUCGCAGCGGUUCUGACGUGCAAAUCGAUCGUCAAAUAUGGGCAUGGGGGCGAAAGACUAAUCGAACCUUCUAGUAGCUGGUUUCCGCCGAAGUUUCCCUCAGGAUAGCAGUGUUGAGCUCAGUUUUAUGAGGUAAAGCGAAUGAUUAGGGACUCGGGGGCGCUAUAUUGCCUUCAUCCAUUCUCAAACUUUAAAUAUGUAAGAAGCCCUUGUUGCUUAAUUGAACGUGGGCAUUCGAAUGUAUCAACACUAGUGGGCCAUUUUUGGUAAGCAGAACUGGCGAUGCGGGAUGAACCGAACGCGAGGUUAAGGUGCCAGAGUAGACGCUCAUCAGACACCACAAAAGGUGUUAGUACAUCUUGACAGCAGGACGGUGGCCAUGGAAGUCGGAAUCCGCUAAGGACUGUGUAACAACUCACCUGCCGAAUGUACUAGCCCUGAAAAUGGAUGGCGCUCAAGCGUCUCACCCAUACCUCGCCCUCAGGGUAGAAACGAUGCCCUGAGGAGUAGGCGGACGUGGAG
Molecule: ribosomal RNA, 1298 nt
Filed under: Stephanonectria keithii
Lineage: Eukaryota; Fungi; Ascomycota; Sordariomycetes; Hypocreales; Nectriaceae
Description: eukaryotic LSU rRNA
Rfam family: Eukaryotic large subunit ribosomal RNA
Source: RNAcentral